GAUGAAGAACGUAGCGAAAUGCGAUAAGUAAUGUGAAUUGCAGAAUUCAGUGAAUCAUCGAAUCUUUGAACGCACAUUGCGCCCGCCAGCAUUCUGGCGGGCAUGCCUGUUCGAGCGUCAUUUCAACCCUCAAGCUCUGCUUGGUGUUGGGGCCCUACGGUUGACGUAGGCCCUUAAAGGUAGUGGCGGACCCUCUCGGAGCCUCCUUUGCGUAGUAACUAACGUCUCGCAUUGGGAUUCGGAGGGACUCUUGCCGUAAAACCCACAAAUUUUCUAAUGGUUGACCUCGGAUCAGGUAGGAAUACCCGCUGAACUUAAGCAUAUCAAUAAGCGGAGGA
This 338-nucleotide unclassified non-coding RNA is filed under the name soil metagenome. RNAcentral describes it as "partial contains 5.8S ribosomal RNA, internal transcribed spacer 2, and large subunit ribosomal RNA". The stretch from base 1 to 120 matches the Rfam family "5.8S ribosomal RNA", at positions 35 to 154 of the family's 154-position model. The record is from RNAcentral.